AUUGAACGCUGGCGGCAGGCCUAACACAUGCAAGUCGAACGCGUGGCGGACGGGUGAGUAAUGUCUGGGAAACUGCCUGAUGGAGGGGGAUAACUACUGGAAACGGUAGCUAAUACCGCAUACCCUCAGCUGUUCCCGGAUGGGAUUAGCUAGUUGGUGGGGUGACGGCUCCCCAAGUCGACGAUCCCUAGCUGGUCUGAGAGGGUGACCAGCCACACUGGAACUGAGACACGGUCCAGACUCCUACGGGAGGCAGCAGUAGGGAAUAUUUAGCAAUGGGCGAAAGCCUGAUGCAGCCAUGCCGCGUGUAUGAUGAAGGCCUUCGGGUUGUAAAGUACUGUUAGCGGGGAAGCGUUACCGGCAGAGGAAGCACCGGCUAACUACGUGCCAGCAGCCGCGGUAAUAC
This 406-nucleotide ribosomal RNA is filed under the name uncultured bacterium. RNAcentral's name for it is "partial 16S ribosomal RNA". It matches the Rfam family "Bacterial small subunit ribosomal RNA", at positions 30 to 526 of the family's 1533-position model. The record is from RNAcentral.